AGAUCAAGGAAGCUCCAAAAUAUUCCCAUGGUUCCCUCAAGGUAGUGGAAGUGAACAACUAUCGUGGUCGCCCCGGUGAUUUGAAACUUGUGAUGUACUUAAUAGACAACGCUGUUGGACUGGAAAAAAUUGUCAAUCAUCCUCUCGAACCAAUUCGUGGCGAAGAAUUGGGAGAGGCUUUUUUUAUGUGUCGUGCUAGGGAUGAGAUGGCAAGAAAAGUGCCUAAACACAUAGAAUUGGAUGGCCGUAAUAACUUUCGGUUUGAUCGUCCGGUAUAUGUGUAACUGAUUUCCCUUGGUUGUUCGGUUGCUGCGUCCGCCAAUUGAAAUUUUACAGAGGGAGGGAGGGUGGCUUACUUGAAUAAAGUGUAGUGCAGGCAGACUGCUUAAAUUGAAAGUUUCCUUUAUGCUUUUUCGGUCAAUUUGUUUCCUUAUGUUGCUUGCUGUUGUUUGGCAAGUUUCCUGACUGAAGUGAGAGAUGGGCUUAUUGCUGAAUAUGAGAUUAUGGGAACUUGCUUUGUCUCCAAGGCUGAUUACAAAGUUGGCUUGCACUUUAACAUUCUUUAUUAGGUCUAGAGCUGUUCCAAAGGUGAAAAUGGAUCUGAUUUAAAUGAGGCAGUGGACAGAAGGAAAAAUACAUAUACAAUUUGUAUGCCCCCCUAUGUAUCUACUUAGCAAGUGCAUGGUGCUUAAUUUGAGUAUUUUGCUUCA
This is a non-coding RNA of Prunus avium (sweet cherry), 710 nucleotides long. The record is from RefSeq and is a predicted model, not a curated record. NCBI's taxonomy places the organism in Eukaryota, Viridiplantae, Streptophyta, Magnoliopsida, Rosales, Rosaceae.